Molecule: ribosomal RNA, 253 nt
Filed under: uncultured bacterium
Lineage: Bacteria
Description: partial 16S ribosomal RNA
Rfam family: Bacterial small subunit ribosomal RNA
Source: RNAcentral
UACAGAGGGUGCGAGCGUUGUUCGGAAUUAUUGGACGUAAAGGGCGCGUAGGCGGCGCCACAAGUCACUUGUGAAAACUCUGGGCUCAACUCAGAGCCUGCAAGCGAAACUGUGGUGCUGGAGUAUGGGAGAGGUGCGUGGAAUUCCCGGUGUAGCGGUGAAAUGCGUAGAUAUUGGGAGGAACACCGGUGGCGAAGGCGGCUCACUGGACCGGUACUGACGCUGAGACGCGAAAGCCAGGGGAGCAAACGGG